UUCGUAGGUGGCCAACUAAGUCAGACGUGAAAUCCCUCAGCUUAACUGGGGAACUGCGUCUGAGACUGGAUGGCUUGAGUGCAGGAGAGGAACGCGGAAUUCCAGGUGUAGCGGUGAAAUGCGUAGAUAUCUGGAGGAACACCGGUGGCGAAGGCGGCGUUCUGGACUGCUACUGACACUGAGGAACGAAAGCCAGGGGAGCAAACG
Molecule: ribosomal RNA, 207 nt
Filed under: uncultured bacterium
Lineage: Bacteria
Description: partial 16S ribosomal RNA
Rfam family: Bacterial small subunit ribosomal RNA
Source: RNAcentral